This 253-nucleotide ribosomal RNA is filed under the name uncultured bacterium. RNAcentral describes it as "partial 16S ribosomal RNA". It matches the Rfam family "Bacterial small subunit ribosomal RNA", at positions 524 to 776 of the family's 1533-position model. The record is from RNAcentral.
UACGUAGGGUGCGAGCGUUGUCCGGAAUUAUUGGGCGUAAAGAGCUCGUAGGCGGUUCGUCGCGUCGGCUGUGAAAUCCCGAGGCUCAACCUCGGGUCUGCAGUCGAUACGGGCGGGCUGGAGUUCGGCAGGGGAGACUGGAAUUCCUGGUGUAGCGGUGAAAUGCGCAGAUAUCAGGAGGAACACCGGUGGCGAGGGCGGGUCUCUGGGCCGAUACUGACGCUGAGGAGCGAAAGCGUGGGGAGCGAACAGG